RNAcentral lists this ribosomal RNA (253 nucleotides) under uncultured bacterium. RNAcentral's name for it is "partial 16S ribosomal RNA". It matches the Rfam family "Bacterial small subunit ribosomal RNA", at positions 524 to 776 of the family's 1533-position model. The record is from RNAcentral.
UACGUAGGGACCAAGCGUUGUUCGGAUUUACUGGGCGUAAAGGGCGCGUAGGCGGCAAUUCAAGUCAGCUGUGAAAUCUCCGGGCUUAACUCGGAACGGUCAGCUGAUACUGCUUUGCUAGAGUGCAGAAGGGGCAAUCGGAAUUCUUGGUGUAGCGGUGAAAUGCGUAGAUAUCUGGAGGAACACCGGUGGCGAAGGCGGCGUUCUGGACUGUAACUGACACUGAAGAACGAAAGCCAGGGGAGCAAACGGG